RNAcentral lists this ribosomal RNA (460 nucleotides) under uncultured bacterium. RNAcentral's name for it is "partial 16S ribosomal RNA". It matches the Rfam family "Bacterial small subunit ribosomal RNA", at positions 338 to 795 of the family's 1533-position model. The record is from RNAcentral.
CCUACGGGAGGCAGCAGUGAGGAAUAUUGGUCAAUGGGCGCUAGCCUGAACCAGCCAAGUAGCGUGCAGGAUGACUGCCCUCUGGGUUGUAAACUUCUUUUAUAUGGGAAUAAAGUGCAGUAUGUAUACUGCUUUUCAUAUAUCUUAUGAAUAAGGAUAGGGUAACUUCCUGCCCGCAGCCGCGGUAAUACGGAGGAUCCGCGGGUUAUCCGGAUUUAUUGUGUUUAAAGGGAGCGUAUGCGGGUUGUUAAGUCAGUUGUGAAAGUUUGCGGCUCAACCGUAAAAUUGCAGUUGAUACUGGCAGCCUUGAGUACAGUAGAGGUAGGCGGAAUUCGUGGUGUAGCGGUGAAAUGCUUAGAUAUCACGAAGAACUCCGAUUGCGAAGGCAGCCUGCUGGACUGUAACUGACGCUGAGGCUCGAAAGUGUGGGUAUCAAACAGGAUUAGAUACCCGUGUAGUC